This 213-nucleotide ribosomal RNA is filed under the name Triticum aestivum (bread wheat). RNAcentral describes it as "partial small subunit ribosomal RNA". The record is from RNAcentral. Lineage: Eukaryota; Viridiplantae; Streptophyta; Magnoliopsida; Poales; Poaceae.
GCGCCGUACCCGAAUCAUAUUAGUGCAUUCGAGAAGGCUGUCAGAUGUUUUACCGAUUAUCCAUUUGAAAAUGUGAUCUCUCCAGUUCUAGGGACUUCAUUUGACUCGUUGGGUGAGGUUUAUGAUUUUUACAAUCUAUAUUCCUGGAAGAAGGGAUUUGGCAUACGAUGGAAAAAUAGCCGGCUUAAUGUAAAGUGGACGAAAUGUGUGUAG